This 253-nucleotide ribosomal RNA is filed under the name uncultured bacterium. RNAcentral describes it as "partial 16S ribosomal RNA". It matches the Rfam family "Bacterial small subunit ribosomal RNA", at positions 524 to 776 of the family's 1533-position model. The record is from RNAcentral. RNAcentral also lists the same sequence under 1 other name.
UACGUAGGGCGCAAGCGUUGUCCGGAAUUAUUGGGCGUAAAGAGCUCGUAGGUGGCUUGUCGCGUCUGCCGUGAAAACCCGAGGCUCAACCUCGGGCGUGCGGUGGGUACGGGCAGGCUAGAGUGUGGUAGGGGAGACUGGAACUCCUGGUGUAGCGGUGAAAUGCGCAGAUAUCAGGAAGAACACCGAUGGCGAAGGCAGGUCUCUGGGCCAUUACUGACACUGAGGAGCGAAAGCAUGGGUAGCGAACAGG